RNAcentral lists this ribosomal RNA (465 nucleotides) under uncultured bacterium. RNAcentral's name for it is "partial 16S ribosomal RNA". It matches the Rfam family "Bacterial small subunit ribosomal RNA", at positions 338 to 795 of the family's 1533-position model. The record is from RNAcentral.
CCUACGGGUGGCAGCAGUGGGGAAUAUUGCGCAAUGGGCGAAAGCCUGACGCAGCGACGCCGCGUGAGGGAUGAAGGUCUUCGGAUCGUAAACCUCUGUCAGCAGGGAAGAACGGUCACUGUGCUAAUCAGCAGUGAAUUGACGGUACCUGCAAAGGAAGCACCGGCUAACUACGUGCCAGCAGCCGCGGUAAUACGUAGGGGGCAAGCGUUAUCCGGAUUUACUGGGUGUAAAGGGGGCGCAGACGGCAAUGCAAGCCAGGAGUGAAAGCCCGGGGCCCAACCCCGGGACUGCUCUUGGAACUGCAUGGCUGGAGUACAGGAGGGGCAGGCGGAAUUCCUAGUGUAGCGGUGAAAUGCGUAGAUAUCUGGAGGAACAUCAGUGGCGAAGGCGACUAUCUGGCACAUAACUGACGCUGAGGAGCGAAAGCGUGGGUAGCAAACAGGAUUAGAUACCCGUGUAGUC